AGGUCGUGCACGCCUCGAGCAUUCUCUCAUAUCCAUCUCACCCCUUUGUGCAUUGCCGCGUGGGUCUCCCUUUAAUAAGGGGACUUGCGUUUUUACAUAGACACCCUUCGAAUGCAUGUGUAGAACGUCUUAUUAUUAUCAAUACAACUUUCAACAACGGAUCUCUUGGCUCUCGCAUCGAUGAAGAACGCAGCGAAAUGCGAUACGUAAUGUGAAUUGCAGAAUUCAGUGAAUCAUCGAAUCUUUGAACGCACCUUGCACCCCUUGGUAUUCCGAGGGGUACACCCGUUUGAGUGUCGUGAAUGUUCUCAACCUUAUUGGUUUCUUUGAGACCAACAAGGCUUGGAGUUUGGAGGUUUUUCCUGCUGGCCUUGUUUUGAAGUCAGCUCCUCCUAAAUGAAUUGGUGGGGUCCGCUUUAGCUGAUCCUUGACGUGAUAAGCAUUUCUUCUACGUCAUGUCGGCUGGGAACCUGCUUUCUAACCCUAGAGUUACAUGUAACUCGACCGUU
Molecule: ribosomal RNA, 509 nt
Filed under: uncultured fungus
Lineage: Eukaryota; Fungi
Description: eukaryotic LSU rRNA
Rfam family: 5.8S ribosomal RNA (bases 146-299)
Source: RNAcentral